This 495-nucleotide ribosomal RNA is filed under the name uncultured bacterium. RNAcentral describes it as "partial 16S ribosomal RNA". It matches the Rfam family "Bacterial small subunit ribosomal RNA", at positions 28 to 507 of the family's 1533-position model. The record is from RNAcentral.
GACGAACGCUGGCGGCGUGCCUAAUACAUGCAAGUAGAACGCUGAAGGAGGAGCUUGCUUCUCCGGAUGAGUUGCGAACGGGUGAGUAACGCGUAGGUAACCUGCCUGGUAGCGGGGGAUAACUAUUGGAAACGAUAGCUAAUACCGCAUAACAGUAGAUAUUGCAUGAUAUCUGCUUGAAAGGUGCAAUUGCAUCACUACCAGAUGGACCUGCGUUGUAUUAGCUAGUUGGUGAGGUAACGGCUCACCAAGGCGACGAUACAUAGCCGACCUGAGAGGGUGAGCGGCCACACUGGGACUGAGACACGGCCCAGACUCCUACGGGAGGCAGCAGGAGGGAAUCUGCGGGAAUGGACGGAAGUCUGAGCGAGCAACGCCGCGGGAGGGAAGAAGGGUGUCGGAUCGUAAAGCUCGGUUGUAAGAGAAGAAAGAGUGUGAGAGUGGAAAGUUCACACUGUGACGGUAUCUGACCAGAAAGGGACGGCUAACUACGUG